CCUGCGCGGCCGUCGCCCCCCAGCUGUGCCGGCCCGCUCCAUCCCACACACCCUCCAGCGGGGCCGCUUCCCGCCCAAACGGCCGCCAGCAGCGGGCUGUCCCCGCGGGUUCCGCUGGCUCGGAGCGCAGUGCUUUCUAGAACGCCGGUGGGGGGAGGCAGUGAGGAGCCUUCGAGGGGAGAUGGCCCGUCCUGUCAGCCAGCGUGUCCCCAUAGAACCUGUCUCGGUGAGAGAAAUUCCCUGGCUCGAUUCCCUUGCUGUCUGUAUAUUCAUCUAGCAGCCAGAGAAGAGGUUUGCUUUGAUUUGGGAGUCCGUUACACCGUGAUAACAAGAUUGCUUCAAGGAACAUGUUCUGAACAAGGAAUUCAAAAAUGAAGAUAGAGAGUACCCACAGAAUCAUGGAGGUUCAUGUAGAAAACAAACACAGGAAGGGGAUGAGACAAAAAGCAAAGAUGUGGAUAAUGGUAAGGCAAUACAUAUGGAAAUUCUGCUUGAGAAGAACAAACGCAAAUGCCAAAAACAAUUCACUUGCUACAUUAAGUUAGAAGAUCUGGAUAGCAAACAUAAGCAUCCAAAACAAAUGAAGCAGGUUAGCCAGAGUGUCUACCGGCCCCAAGGUCACACAGUCCUGCUCCAGCUGCCAGCAGUGUCCGUGUGGAACAGGGAGCUUUCCAAAUUCUGGCCAGUGCUGGCUGCAUAGAGAAGACUAUCAGCUUUUUUUCCCUUUUCUGUGAAGCGUACAUUGCAGUGCAAAGCCACAACAGGAACACCUGAAUCAGCACUGCAAGUGCUAUGAUGUGCAGAACUGCUUAUGGUCUAGAAGCAAAAUCCUAACAUUAGUCUGCUCCUCCCAUACCUGUACAUGAACACAUUUUCCUAAUUCCUUUUUGUUAUUUUGUUUUAAAGAUUUCUUUUUCAUCUAAGUAUGUAUUACUUCAUUUAAUUGUCAAUACUCUGCAGGAGGGUCAGUUCAGUUCAAGAUUAUCUUCUUUCUAUAGCCGUGGAACCAAAUGAAGUUCUCACAUGUUUAGAAUAGGACACAAUCUUAUACUCAAGCCAAAUUAAUUUUCAAAGCUUUCUGUAAGUCCCCUCUUGCAGAGUUUUUUUCUUUCAAGUAUCAAAUUCUACUUGGUCCAUUGCCUUUAAGUGUUUCAUACAAAAGAUUGUAUAUCGUCUCUGUCAUGCCCAAGUUCAGGGAGCAAUAGUGUUCACUGUACACUCCCCUUCCUUUUCCUUCAUGGGAACACUAGCUUGGUGCUACUUUGCUUGGUGCUGAUUCCAAGAGAUGCCAUGUUUACCAUCUGUGUUCUUCCUUCUUAUCAGAUGCUAGGUAGGUUGGAAGGAGGAGUCAACAAAUAAUUUUGGUACUGUAAUGGACUUACCAAAAUAGUUUGGCUCAAAAAAUUUCCCUAUGUGUUCUACUGGAUCUUAUAACUUGGUGAAAAAUGCAUUGAAUAAAACCCCAGAUACUGUCACAGCCCAUCAGUUGGGUACACUUCAGAUGUACCAUUCCAUGAAAAUCAGACUUGCCCAACCAUGCCAGUGAGCUCCACUAAUGUCAUACCUGCUACUUAGACUUGGGAUAAUCCAUCUGUGCAAUACAAACUGUUUUUCAGAAAUAUAUAUAUAUUUAUUUUGCUCUCCUUCUCCAAUGCCAUAUUUUGAAGUUAAAGAAUGGGAAAUUAGACUUCUUCAACAUGUAGAUAUUUCUCUCAAUGACCCUGCUUUUGGUAAGCAGUGACAUGGUUACUCAGUAGGCUGUUUUCCCCUGGAGCUAUUCUUGUCCUGUAUCAGAUGAACACAUCCAAAGUCUCCUUCCAAUGCCACCCGUAAAAACUAUUGCCAGGUAAGUGAAUGCACAGCACCUUGUUUUGAAUAUUUAAGUUGUACGGAAUAAGCGUUUUACUUAUAGUCAGCAUGGCCUGGAAUCAAGUGCCAUAGAACUUCAUCACAAACUUAUCUUUCUCCCCUUUUUGAUGUUUUCUUUGGUGGCAGUAAAUACUGAAGACCCAGAUCAAAUCUGACUAUCAGAUUUCUCAUAUUUUUUAAGAGACGUUCAAGUAAACAUGGAUAUGAUUGGCUUCAGUUUGCAAGAAAUAUCAACUGCCAAGCUGUCUCUAGAUCUUUUUUUAUAAAUAUUACCAGUUCUUAUUUUACUCAAAACCCAAUACUUCACAUGGCUACUAUUGCAAUUUCAACUCUUAAAACUUCUUCAUUGGAAACCAAAUGCCUGUGAGGUUGUUUGCUUUUAUCGGAAUCAUUUUCAGAAGGAAUUCCUGCAGGCUGGUUUUUUACAAAGCAGUAGCCACACUGAAAUCCAAGCGAAUUACAAAUGCACCCACUCAUCCAGAUACCUAUGUUGCUAGAAUUUCACAGGACCGAUUUCCAAGCCCAAUUCUACCACAUAAGCAGCCAGCACAUAUUUUCCAGUCACCACUGUGAUUCGAAUCCAGUUAGGAGUUCUCGGUUUGUACCAAGUUCACCAUCCUUUUUAAAACAAUAAUAUGUUGGAGCACCAUCUGUAGAUCUCAAGUACUUUGAAAUUUCUGGAGUGGUGGAAUUGCAGUUGUUUAAAUACCUACAUAUCUAGAACUCUUUUCCCAAAGGCCCCCUGUUUCCCAGGCUCUGCAAAGUAUUCUUUCACCAUGCCGGCAUAGUACUAUAUUCUGGCCUGCCUUUGGUUUGUAACAGUUCUUUUUAACAGAAGUUCCUUUUCUACCAUGUCAUCACUGAGCUGUACCACUUCCUGGAGUUUUUAUUCUGUUUAUGAUUUCCCUCAUUUUACAGAUUGGAUUAGCAACAUUUCUGAAAACAUCAAGAAUGUUACCCAGCAAAUCAAAGUCCCUUUUUCCAUCAUGUAUAGCCAUCUGUGGUUAUAAAGCCCUUAGAUAUUGCUUACCCAGCCUGACUGACUACAAGCUGUAACUUUAGCUUAUAUCUGAACAGAACACCAGCCUUUUUCAGAGUGUCUCUACCAAAUCAUUAACACCUGGGCCACUCAAGUUGGAUCUUAAUUAAUUUUUCACCUUGUCUGUACCAUCAUGCAAUUAGCCUAUGAACGUGGAUUUCCACAGGGCAUUUCCCACUUGCAGAUUAUUGUAUCACUACAGCAGAAACAACACACCUCCUACCCUUAGGGUAACACUGGAUGAAAAGAUGGAGCUGUGGACAUAUUACCUUACUCAAGUUUUUAUCUAAUCGAAUUUCACAGCUAGCAGCUGCAGUGACUAUAAUCCAUCGGUUCUCCUGCACGGUCACUUGUUUUAAGUUCCUUUCUUCCUUCUGGUUCCCCCUUUCUUCCAGCCAAAGAUUAGCCAGAGCUUUCUCCUCAUUCCAUGGUACGCUCAGAGUUUGCUUUAAUACAAUGUACAAAACUCCAAUUUCUCAGUUCAGGCCUUGUUUUCUCUCUUCUCAGCACCUCCGGCUCUCUCAAAACAGCUCAUUUCAUUUCUGCCAGCUGUGACCUCUCCAAAUGCCUCACUAAUUCACGCCGUACCAGACCUGGCCUGGGCAGUGAGCACCGUGCUGCGUUUUGAUUAGGAAGAACACUUGGUGCUGAAAUCAGGUGCCUGUGGUGUAAUCAUGUUACCGUGUAAUGAGGCUGAAAGCUCCUUCCCUCCCCACUAAGUGCCAUCAGGCAGCACGAUGACUGCAGAUUUCUUUCAAGUAUUACUCAGUCCAAAAACCUGAGAGGACUUUUCCUUACAAUUUGUCUUCUGUAGGGGGUUAACUGGUUAUCCUCAUCGCUUUCUCUUUUGUUGCUUUUGCCUCUGCAGUACAAAGCGCCUUUUGUAAAAUAGUAGCCAGCAGGAGUUCCUUAACUCACGGACAAGUCUGUCUUGAUACUUGUAUCAGGGGUGUGCAAUUGUGGCAGGUGGGACAGAGGUUCCUUUCUCCUAAUUUAUAGUAGAACAAUUACCCUAAUUCUUUUUUCUUUUUUACUUUUUAAAAAUUAUUAUUAUUAUUAUUGUUUCCUUGGCCUCACUGCUGUUAUAAAGAGGUCCCUGGAGGUUUUCAAGAAGAGAGUAGAUGUGGCACUGAGACAUGGGUUAGUGGGCAGUGUGAUGGGCUGAUG
Gallus gallus (chicken) is the source of this 4075-nucleotide long non-coding RNA. RefSeq lists it as uncharacterized. The record is from RefSeq and is a predicted model, not a curated record. The transcript is spliced from 3 exons. Lineage: Eukaryota; Metazoa; Chordata; Aves; Galliformes; Phasianidae.